Molecule: ribosomal RNA, 662 nt
Filed under: uncultured organism
Description: bacterial SSU rRNA
Rfam family: Bacterial small subunit ribosomal RNA
Source: RNAcentral
GGCUUAGAGUUUGAUCAUGGCUCAGGACGAACGCUGGCGGCGUGCUUAACACAUGCAAGUCGAACGGAGCACCCUUGACUGAGGUUUCGGCCAAAUGAAAGGAAUGCUUAGUGGCGGACUGGUGAGUAACGCGUGAGGAACCUGCCUUCCAGAGGGGGACAACAGUUGGAAACGACUGCUAAUACCGCAUGAUAUAUUGAAAGGGCAUCCUUUUAAUAUCAAAGAUUUAUCGCUGGAAGAUGGCCUCGCGUCUGAUUAGCUAGUAGGCGGGGUAACGGCCCACCUAGGCGACGAUCAGUAGCCGGACUGAGAGGUUGACCGGCCACAUUGGGACUGAGAUACGGCCCAGACUCCUACGGGAGGCAGCAGUGGGGAAUAUUGGGCAAUGGGCGCAAGCCUGACCCAGCAACGCCGCGUGAAGGAAGAAGGCUUUCGGGUUGUAAACUUCUUUUGUCAGGGAACAGUAGAAGAGGGUGCCUGACGAAUAAGCCACGGCUAACUACGUGCCAGCAGCCGCGGUAAUACGUAGGUGGCAAGCGUUGUCCGGAUUUACUGGGUGUAAAGGGCGUGCAGCCGGGCUGGUAAGUCAGAUGUGAAAUCCGUGGGCUUAACCCACGAACUGCAUUUGAAACUGCUGGUCUUGAGUACCGGAGAGGUUAUCG